ACUCAAAUGAAUAGACGGGGACCCGCACAAGCGGUGGAGCAUGUGGUUUAAUUCGAUGCAACGCGAAGAACCUUACCUGGCCUUGACAUCUACGGAACCCUUCAGAGAUGAGGGGGUGCCUUCGGGAACCGUAAGACAGGUGCUGCAUGGCUGUCGUCAGCUCGUGUCGUGAGAUGUUGGGUUAAGUCCCGCAACGAGCGCAACCCUUGUCCUUAGUUGCCAUCAUUAAGUUGGGAACUCUAAGGAGACCGCCGGUGACAAACCGGAGGAAGGUGGGGAUGACGUCAAGUCAUCAUGGCCUUUAUGGCCAGGGCUACACACGUGCUACAAUGGCAGGUACAGAGGGAAGCCAACUCGCGAGAGGGAGCCAAUCCCAGAAAGCCUGUCGUAGUCCGGAUCGGAGUCUGCAACUCGACUCCGUGAAGUCGGAAUCGCUAGUAAUCGCAGAUCAGCAUUGCUGCGGUGAAUACGUUCCCGGGUCUUGCACACACCGCCCGU
This 498-nucleotide ribosomal RNA is filed under the name uncultured bacterium. Its description in RNAcentral is "partial 16S ribosomal RNA". It matches the Rfam family "Bacterial small subunit ribosomal RNA", at positions 899 to 1397 of the family's 1533-position model. The record is from RNAcentral.